UAACUUGGGCUAGACAGGUCCAAAUGACCUGAUUUUUGUGGCAUUGGAAAGGUAUGACAUAGCACUACAACUCUCAUGAAGAACACUAACCCAAAUUCUACCCAUAACCAAGUGAAAUUUCCACCCAAAUUUAGUUAUCCAAAACUGCCAUAACCAAUAAAGUACUCAGAAAUUCUGGGUAAUACCAAUCCGGCUAGCCUAAGGAAAAUGGCUACAUCUUGAGCUAAAAAACUCCAAAUGGAGUGAUUCAAAAAUAGAAUUAAAGAUAAGACAAUAAGGAACAAAUUUGAUGAAGAACACUUAGCCAAAUUUCCAUAAUAACUAGACCAAUGGAACAGUGCAAUACAUGGCACUAAAAUUGAAAAAUUGAAUUUUCUCUUAGGAGACUUAGAAAUUGAAAUGGCAAGACCAACAAAUUAGGUACUCAAAAUAUGGUAUGUGGGUGUAAUGAGAAUUUGUAUACCUAUUUAGUGUGGAAAAGUCAACAUUUUGACCAAACGGUCAAAUGAAUAGUAACCACCAUAAUCAAGAACACAAAGAACUCAAUUUAUGGGAUUAUAUAAGCAAAGUUUAAAUGCAAAUUUCAAUUGCUAAAAUUUUGGAUAAAUAUUGAGACAUCUUAAUUGUGUACUUCAGUAGAAAAUGGGCAUUCUGAGGAAGGGAAUCGACAUGAGUGAAAUAAGGAAAGACUAAUUACGAGGUUUGUGCACAAAAUUUCUUUUAAAUUAUAGUUUUCACAUUGAAAAUUGAUUUGUUAUACAUUGUGAAUGUGUUUUGUUCAUUAUGAAUUUUCGAGAAUGUUGUGUUGUCUAUUUUACAAUUGAAAUUUGGAAUGAAAAUUAUUUAUUGAGUUGUAUGAAAUAUUUGAACAAUAUGGUUUUAAAUUUGGUUUUGGCCUUGGGAAUUUUAUUUGAAAAUUUAUGUGUUUCCUACUUUAGAAAUGGAGAUUUGAAAUGAAGUUUGUUUGAUUGUUGUAUUAAUUAUAAUUGAACAUUCUAGUUUUAAAUUAUUUUUGAUUUACACUUGGCAUGGCAAUAUUACUAUGUUCCUCCUCCACUUGUGGAGUUGAGUUUGAUAUUUGAUCAUUUUCCUCCCUCUCUGGUUUGCUAAUCUGAGGUGAGUUUGGAUGAGUACUCAUUAGCUAGCUAGCCACCUCCCUCAUUGAUUUCGAUUAGUGGGUUGAGUUUGCCUUGUCGUGGUGUACAACAAGGCAUAUUUGGAAAUUUUGUGUCAUGACCUAAGUUGUGUUAUUGAUUGGCAACACUGUGUUUCUUAAAUUAUUUGACUAAAUUUGUGUUAUAAUGAACUUUGAAAAUUGUGAGAUAAAAUUAUGAAAUAUUUAAAUUGUGAUUUGUCAAUGAAUGUUUUAUAUUAAGCGUUUGUGAAAUAUUUAAAAUAUGAUUUGAAAUUGUGAAACAUAAUUGUAAAAGGUUUUAAUUAUGACUUGCCAAUGCAUGUUUUAUUUACAGUAUUUUAAGUUUUAUUAUGCACCACUGAGUAAAUUUAUACUCAGCGAUAGCUUCCUUUGCUGUCGCAGAUAGAUAAAAGGACAUAGCAGUAGAGUGAGCUGCUACAAUAAGAGAGGAGCACGGUUUUGGAGAUUUUUGUACUGGCGAAGUUUGGUGGAGGCACUGGGCUAUGGGACAAAAUCAUGAGGCUUAUGGCCAAAGCAGACAAUUUCUCUAGUGGUGGGAGCCCGAUCGUUACAUAAAGUGCGACAGAACUGAUUUUGCAACUAGAGUUAAGACUGAUGCACACGUAGACAUUCCUUCUACUCAUGAUGGUAGUGCAUUUGAUCAUGGUAAUGUUAAGUGUGGAGGCACUGGGCUUGGUGAGUCUACUGCUACUGUAGAGCAUGAAAGUGAACAUGUUACAAAACCUAUAGUUGAACCUGUUGUUGAGCAUGAUAGUGAAGAGGUUGUAGAACUUGUAGUUGAACCUACUGUUGAACUUGAGAGUGAACAAAUUGCAGAACCUGCAGUUGAGUCUACACAGAAGAAGGAAGAUUAUCUAAAGGAUCAGCAGGAGAGUACUCCACCUAAACUUUCUAUAGUUGAAGCUUCUCAGGCUAAGAAGAGUAAGAAAAAAGUUAAGUCUACAGUGUCCAAUCCAUAUCAGACUCUGGCUACUGCUCUUCAAAGCCCAUCUGAUGAGGAUGAAUCACAGGAGCGUGAUUCUCAUAACGCUUUUGCUGACCAAGUUUCUUAGCCACCUGCUGCCAAACCCUCCAAGAAGAAGAUAGUGCCUUCCAAAGCUAUUCGAAGGAGCAAAAGGUUUAAUGUUUAUAAAAUGAUCUAUUUUUUUAGUUUACUAAUAUGUUUACUACUAUUGUUGGAUGGUUUUUCAGUUUGCUACUGUUUUUCAAUUUAUGCUUGGUUCUUUUUGGAUUAAUAUCUCCUGUUUCCUUUUUGGAUGAUGACAAAAAGGGGGAGAAUGGAUGUGUGCUUUGUGUGCUUUUGUUUUGUAAAAAUGGAUGUGUGCUUAUAUUUUGAAAAUGGAUGUAUACUUAUGUUUUAGAAGUGUGUAUGCAAACUAUUGUGACUUAUGUGUGCAAACUAUUAAGUUUAAUAUUUUGCAUAUUGAAAUUGUGGAUAUCUUAUGAAUAUGUUUUGUAGCAUAAAUUCAGGGGAAGUUUUGUAUAGCUAUUAAUAUUUUUAUUUUUUUUAACUUGUGUGCAUACAUUUAGGGGGAGUAAUUUCUGCAUACUAACAUGCUUGGUUAUACAUAAACUUACGCACACUUUUAUUUAUUCUUGAUUGAUGAUUUAAUUGAGUUUCGUCAUCAUUAAAAAGGGGGAGAUUGUUGACCCCAUGUAGCUCAAAAUGAGCAUUGAUUUUGAUGAUAACAAAACUCAACUAGAAUCUAUCUAACUCAAUUUCAAGUGAUGUGUAGAUUCUUUCUCUUAUUCAUGAAGAAUCUUUGAAGUUGCAUCUAAGGAGGAAGGGCACUCAAAGGCAUCUCAAGAUGAAUCUAAGUUGAGAAAGAACAAGAUUAUGAAAGCUAAGACUCAAGUUGAAGGUAUGAAAAUCAUAGAGUUAGGAAUUGAGUCUUAGGAUUUGUGUAAAAAUAAUAGAUGAAAGUUUUAGUCAAUUAGAGCUCAAAAUUAAUUUUUCUUUCAAUUACUUUAUAAAAUUUUCUCUCAUCAUGACCUUGGAUAUUGCUAUUGGAAUAUAUAUUUCUCUUAAGGUCUAAAUUAGAUUUUUAAAUAUUACAAUUUGAAACAGGCAUUUGAUAAAUUAGUUUGCUAACUUGUUUGCUAAAAUAUUAGUUUGCUAAUGUUUUUGCUAAAAUAUAGUUUGCUAACUAGUUUACUACUGUUGCCAAAAAUUUCAUUAGUUUGCUAAAUGAUCAGAGUUACUCUACUUCAUACGAAAAGACAAAAUAAUGGCUAUUUUACCUAGAACAGAGUGUAUAAUGUUACAAAAAGGUUUCAAACAGUCUAAAAUGAUUUGGGACUAUAAAUACACAUUCUUUACUUCAUUUUACACUUGAUGAAAGCUUAUAAUUGCACUCCAAUAUUGGUUUUUCAUUUAUUGCUUUCAUUUAAGAACUUUAAAGUGUUUCAGCUACCAUUGGCAAAUUAACUCAUCUCCUCUUUGUAGUUUGAUUUAUAUUGAGUGAGAGUGAGUGUUAAAAUAUAAAAUUGCAUUUAAGAGAGGUUGUACAAGCACCUAUUGAAGCUUAUGAGUGUGAGUGCUUGAGAUAGCACUUGUUAAGGGUUCAAGCUACCUUGGUAAAAGCUUGGUGUUGAAAAAGUUGUAAAGGGCUUUUUGGUCUCUUGCCUUUAAAAGAGCAAAUAGUGGAGUGAAGACUCAAAGAGGGUUCUUUGAGAGAGUGAAUGUAGGCUAGUUAAACUGAACCACUAUAAAAAUCAUUGUGUUUGAUUUCUCUAACCUUAAUCUCUUUACUUUUGUGUAA
Hevea brasiliensis (rubber tree) is the source of this 3918-nucleotide long non-coding RNA. RefSeq lists it as uncharacterized. The transcript is spliced from 2 exons. The record is from RefSeq and is a predicted model, not a curated record. Lineage: Eukaryota; Viridiplantae; Streptophyta; Magnoliopsida; Malpighiales; Euphorbiaceae.